This 253-nucleotide ribosomal RNA is filed under the name uncultured archaeon. RNAcentral's name for it is "partial 16S ribosomal RNA". It matches the Rfam family "Archaeal small subunit ribosomal RNA", at positions 474 to 726 of the family's 1478-position model. The record is from RNAcentral.
CACCAGCGCCACUAGUGGGGGCCACGAUUAUUGGGCCUAAAGCGUUCGUAGCCGGUUUGAAAAAUUUUCUGUGAAAUCGUCUAGCUUAACUAUACGACGUGCAGAAAACACUAUCAAACUAGAGAUCGGGAGGAGCUAGGGGUAUUCUCGGGGGAGCGGUAAAAUGUUUUAAUCCCUUGAAGACCACCUGUGGCGAAGGCGCCUAGCUAGAACGAAUCUGACGGUGAGGGACGAAAGCCAGGGGAGCGAUCCG